UGUCCUUUUGAUGGACCUUCCUAGGCUGUUUCUAUCUCUCUCUCUCCUUAUCCGCGGAAAACCAAAUAAUUAGUUAUCACAGUUCCUAUAUUCCUUGUAUAUGCAUUGACAAAACUACUCACUUUUUUUUCUGUCUUUCUUUUCUCGUGUUCUUUAUCUCUCUCGCUAGCUCAUAGCAGAAGUAAAAGGCCUUUAUUUAUAAUUUAUAAAUAUAAGCAAAGGAGAUAACAGAUAAUAAGAAACUAAGCAUGAAUGGUGCUGCAUGUGUUGAGGCAGAGUGUUGUGAGUAUGUGGAAGUUGAUCCCACGGGAAGAUAUGGAAGAGUACUUUUCAAGGUUAUGGCCAGGCUUUGGUUUUCUCAGAGGACUAGAAGUUAGAUUCGUGCAACAUGUUUGGCCUUGCCAUUGAGACUAUAAGGUUUCCACAUCUAUGGCCUCAGAGGCCAUCCGGAUUCAGGUAAUAACCAAAAUAGCAGUCCAAUAAGAUUAAAAUAUAUUUUUCAAUUCCACAACAUAUUUCAAUGUUUAGUUUUAAUCUCUACAGAUUGAUAUUACAUUUACUAAAAGUGAUAUAGUUUUAGUCCUUCGUUAGGACUAAAAACACAACUUUGAUCAGUGUUGGGAUAAUCAUAGCUGGUGCUUUUGUCGCUGGAGCUCGUGACUUGGCAUUUGAUGCUUUUGCCUAUUCAGUUGUAUUUAUAGAAAAACAUAUGUAAGGGAGUAUACCUCGCUUCUGUUUCUCGUGUAGGCAAGAUUUCAUCAUUUCCUUGUUUUGUCUCAUUCUUUUGAUUACUUUAGGCAUUCUUCAGUUACUAUUUUCACAUUUUCAACUUUUCAUAGGUAAAUCCAGCGGCCUUAAGUUUUGUUUAAUCUCCAAUUAAUGUCAUUGGAUCCUAUCAUGAUAAUUGCACCCAUCUUAACUUUUUUA
Molecule: long non-coding RNA, 927 nt
Organism: Glycine soja
Lineage: Eukaryota; Viridiplantae; Streptophyta; Magnoliopsida; Fabales; Fabaceae
Exons: 2
Source: RefSeq, a predicted model, not a curated record